Molecule: ribosomal RNA, 253 nt
Filed under: uncultured bacterium
Lineage: Bacteria
Description: partial 16S ribosomal RNA
Rfam family: Bacterial small subunit ribosomal RNA
Source: RNAcentral
UACGAAGGGGGCUAGCGUUGUUCGGAAUUACUGGGCGUAAAGCGCACGUAGGCGGGUUAUUAAGUCAGGGGUGAAAUCCCGGAGCUCAACUCCGGAACUGCCUUUGAUACUGGUAAUCUAGAGAUUGGAAGAGGUGAGUGGAAUUCCCAGUGUAGAGGUGAAAUUCGUAGAUAUUGGGAAGAACACCAGUGGCGAAGGCGGCUCACUGGUCCGAUACUGACGCUGAGGCACGAAAGCGUGGGGAGCAAACAGG